UACGUAGGUGGCAAGCGUUGUCCGGAUUUAUUGGGCGUAAAGCGCGCGCAGGCGGCUAUGUAAGUCUGGUGUUAAAGCCCGGGGCUCAACCCCGGUUCGCAUCGGAAACUGCGUAGCUUGAGUGCAGAAGAGGAAAGCGGUAUUCCACGUGUAGCGGUGAAAUGCGUAGAGAUGUGGAGGAACACCAGUGGCGAAGGCGGCUUUCUGGUCUGUAACUGACGCUGAGGCGCGAAAGCGUGGGGAGCAAACAGG
RNAcentral lists this ribosomal RNA (252 nucleotides) under uncultured bacterium. Its description in RNAcentral is "partial 16S ribosomal RNA". It matches the Rfam family "Bacterial small subunit ribosomal RNA", at positions 524 to 776 of the family's 1533-position model. The record is from RNAcentral.